This 253-nucleotide ribosomal RNA is filed under the name uncultured bacterium. RNAcentral describes it as "partial 16S ribosomal RNA". It matches the Rfam family "Bacterial small subunit ribosomal RNA", at positions 524 to 776 of the family's 1533-position model. The record is from RNAcentral.
UACGAAGGGUGCAAGCGUUACUCGGAAUUACUGGGCGUAAAGCGUGCGUAGGUGGUUUCUUAAGUCUGCUGUGAAAGCCCCGGGCUCAACCUGGGAAUUGCAGUGGAUACUGGGGAGCUAGAGUGCGGUAGAGGGUAGUGGAAUUCCCGGUGUAGCGGUGAAAUGCGUAGAGAUCGGGAGGAACACCAGUGGCGAAGGCGGCUACCUGGACCAGCACUGACACUGAGGCACGAAAGCGUGGGGGGCAAACAGG